CAACCCUCAGGACUCUUCGGAGAACUGGCGUUGGGGAUCAGCGUAGGCGCGGGUUCGCCCGCCUGCUGGCCCUGAAAUACAGUGGCGGUCUUGCUCUGACUCCCUUGCGUAGUAACUUACCUCGCCUGCGGAAGAAUAGCCUGACCACGCCGUAAAACCCCCUACUUUUUUAU
This 173-nucleotide unclassified non-coding RNA is filed under the name uncultured Ascomycota. Its description in RNAcentral is "sequence contains ITS2". The record is from RNAcentral. Lineage: Eukaryota; Fungi; Ascomycota.